CUCAACUAGGGCUUCACAGUUAUCCUCUUUCCACAUAUCAACCUUGCCGUCUUUGGUUUUCUUACUCUCUGCAGAGCUAAUGUUUCUCCUCUUAUCUCUUUACCUUCCCCUGAAUUGGGCCAUCUCAGUCUCCCCUCUCACUGUAUUAUAACCUGUUACUGGCUCAAUCAAUAUCAUGUCCGUUUUCAAUUACCUCUUUUAUCUCCCAUUCACUCUCUUUCUCAACUUAUCUCCUCAGAUCAAAUCUCAACAGUUUUUAAACCUAAAUGGACUCUCUAUAGAUAGUAUAGGCCGCAGUCGUGAAGCCAAUAUUUCACACGCUCAUUCUGAGUAUCCCUCCGCAAAAACUUUUUUUCAAGCAGCACGAAAAUCUCUACUUCUGAUAAUAUCUCUAUCGAAGCCGCUGUCCCACUCCACCUUCGACGAUCUCUGUCCUGGCCGCUCUGCGCAUAUGAUUGUUGGCCGCCUCCUCCCCUUCUUGGAUUCCCAGAGCAUCAGGAAAGAUGGUGGUAUCAUCUUUCUGCUACAAAAUGAGACGGUACAAUGUCUACCAAACAUUCCCUCUUGACUCCAUCAAACAGACGUCUCCGAAAGCUCUUACAAAAGAUUACAUGUGUUUCCCAGUCGUUAUUCAAUUCAGAAAACCCUAGCUUUCUCACUCGGCCUAGAUCUUUCAAUCCCUUUUGGAGAUGUUGUUGAAGCUGUUGUGCCUCACAUGGUUGAAUCAAUCAACGAUGGAACAAAUUGAAACUGCCAAGGUGCUAAACAGUUACUUGCUUUAUUCUCUCUUUAUGUUCUUCGUUUUUUUCCUCUACAUGUUUAAUGUUUUUCAGGUUUCUGGUGUAGUUUUUAUAAAUUAGGUUUGAUUCUUCUACGUGCUUUAGGCGACGAUAGAUAUUGCUAGCCCAGAAAGUGGUAUGAUCCAAGAGGUAAAAUAUUUAUGUUCUUUUAGUUCCAAUGGCUCUUCUCCUCCUCCCAAGCCUUCUCCAACUGCUGAAUAACCCAAGGUUGAAAGUAAUAAAUUUGCGGAGAAACCCAAGGCAUCAUCAGCGCCACCACCGACGACUAAACAGUCAACGAAAGUUUUAAAGAGAACACUUGGACUAUGGGAAAAAACUUCGGAUGCCCGGAUGGAGUCCUCCUCAGUGGAAAGGGUCCUUACAAGUACAACAGACAACAGUAGUGUACCUGAUGGAAUUGAUUACUUGACCGCUCAUGUUGAACUUGGUACUAAGAGUUUUUCUGUCACUUUUCUCAUGAGACGGAAGACUUUUUUCAUGCAACUUUUCCUUUGUGGGGGAAAACAUUCAAAACUUGAAGCUCGCGUUGUUUGGUUUCUCUACAAUAGCUUUUAGUAAAAGUUUAUUAUAACAAUAAUUUUGUUCGAUCAGAUUCAUAUAAAUUACUUUAUGGUAAUUUCUUUUCUCUGUAGUUUGACACCGUAUAUGUGGAGUUGAUGUUGUUCUCUGCUGUGGUGUGUGUUUUUCCAAAUGUUGCAAUGAAAUAAAAUUGAGUUUGGGAGUCUAAGUGAGUUCAUUUC
Long non-coding RNA from Raphanus sativus (radish), 1540 nucleotides. RefSeq lists it as uncharacterized. The transcript is spliced from 3 exons. The record is from RefSeq and is a predicted model, not a curated record. NCBI's taxonomy places the organism in Eukaryota, Viridiplantae, Streptophyta, Magnoliopsida, Brassicales, Brassicaceae.